GAUGAACGCUGGCGGCGUGCCUAAUACAUGCAAGUCGAGCGAACGGACGAGAAGCUUGCUUCUCUGAUGUUAGCGGCGGACGGGUGAGUGACACGUGGAUAACCUACCUAUAAGACUGGGAUAACUUCGGGAAACCGGAGCUAAUACCGGAUAAUAUUUUGAACCGCAUGGUUCAAAAGUGAAAGACGGUCUUGCUGUCACUUAUAGAUGGAUCCGCGCUGCAUUAGCUAGUUGGUAAGGUAACGGCUUACCAAGGCAACGAUGCAUAGCCGACCUGAGAGGGUGAUCGGCCACACUGGAACUGAGACACGGUCCAGACUCCUACGGGAGGCAGCAGUAGGGAAUCUUCCGCAAUGGGCGAAAGCCUGACGGAGCAACGCCGCGUGAGUGAUGAAGGUCUUCGGAUCGUAAAACUCUGUUAUUAGGGAAGAACAUAUGUGUAAGUAACUGUGCACAUCUUGACGGUACCUAAUCAGAAAGCCACGGCUAACUACGUGCCAGCAGCCGCGGUAAUACGUAGGUGGCAAGCGUUAUCCGGAAUUAUUGGGCGUAAAGCGCGCGUAGGCGGUUUUUUAAGUCUGAUGUGAAAGCCCACGGCUCAACCGUGGAGGGUCAUUGGAAACUGGAAAACUUGAGUGCAGAAGAGGAAAGUGGAAUUCCAUGUGUAGCGGUGAAAUGCGCAGAGAUAUGGAGGAACACCAGUGGCGAAGGCGACUUUCUGGUCUGUAACUGACGCUGAUGUGCGAAAGCGUGGGGAUCAAACAGGAUUAGAUACCCUGGUAGUCCACGCCGUAAACGAUGAGUGCUAAGUGUUAGGGGGUUUCCGCCCCUUAGUGCUGCAGCUAACGCAUUAAGCACUCCGCCUGGGGAGUACGACCGCAAGGUUGAAACUCAAAGGAAUUGACGGGGACCCGCACAAGCGGUGGAGCAUGUGGUUUAAUUCGAAGCAACGCGAAGAACCUUACCAAAUCUUGACAUCCUUUGACAACUCUAGAGAUAGAGCCUUCCCCUUCGGGGGACAAAGUGACAGGUGGUGCAUGGUUGUCGUCAGCUCGUGUCGUGAGAUGUUGGGUUAAGUCCCGCAACGAGCGCAACCCUUAAGCUUAGUUGCCAUCAUUAAGUUGGGCACUCUGAGUUGACUGCCGGUGACAAACCGGAGGAAGGUGGGGAUGACGUCAAAUCAUCAUGCCCCUUAUGAUUUGGGCUACACACGUGCUACAAUGGACAAUACAAAGGGCAGCGAAACCGCGAGGUCAAGCAAAUCCCAUAAAGUUGUUCUCAGUUCGGAUUGUAGUCUGCAACUCGACUACAUGAAGCUGGAAUCGCUAGUAAUCGUAGAUCAGCAUGCUACGGUGAAUACGUUCCCGGGUCU
RNAcentral lists this ribosomal RNA (1372 nucleotides) under uncultured bacterium. RNAcentral's name for it is "bacterial SSU rRNA". It matches the Rfam family "Bacterial small subunit ribosomal RNA", at positions 28 to 1381 of the family's 1533-position model. The record is from RNAcentral.